GACGAACGCUGGCGGCGUGCCUAAUACAUGCAAGUAGAACGCUGAAGGAGGAGCUUGCUCUUCUGGAUGAGUUGCGAACGGGUGAGUAACGCGUAGGUAACCUGCCUGGUAGCGGGGGAUAACUAUUGGAAACGAUAGCUAAUACCGCAUAAAAUUGAUUAUUGCAUGAUAGUCAAUUAAAAGGUGCAAUUGCCUCACUACCAGAUGGACCUGCGUUGUAUUAGCUAGUUGGUGAGGUAACGGCUCACCAAGGCAACGAUACAUAGCCGACCUGAGAGGGGGAACGGCCACACUGGGACUGGGACAAGGCCCAGAAUCCUACGGGAGGGAGCAGGAGGGAAUCUUCGGCAAUGGACGGAAGUCUGACCGAGCAACGCCGGGUGAGUGAAGAAGGUUUUCGGAUCGGAAAGGUCUGUUGUAAGAGAAGAACGAGUGUGAGAGUGGAAAGUUCACACUGUGACGGUAUCUUACCAGAAAGGGACGGCUAACUACGUG
This 495-nucleotide ribosomal RNA is filed under the name uncultured bacterium. RNAcentral's name for it is "partial 16S ribosomal RNA". It matches the Rfam family "Bacterial small subunit ribosomal RNA", at positions 28 to 507 of the family's 1533-position model. The record is from RNAcentral.